UAUACCGUGAAACUGCGAAUGGCUCAUUAAAUCAGUUAUCGUUUAUUUGAUAGUACCUUACUACUUGGAUAACCGUGGUAAUUCUAGAGCUAAUACAUGCUAAAAACCUCGACUUCGGAAGGGGUGUAUUUAUUAGAUAAAAAACCAAUGCCCUUCGGGGCUCACUGGUGAUUCAUAAUAACUUAACGAAUCGCAUGGCCUUGUGCCGGCGAUGGUUCAUUCAAAUUUCUGCCCUAUCAACUUUCGAUUGUUGGGUCUUGGCCAACAAUGGUUUCAACGGGUAACGGGGAAUUAGGGUUCUAUUCCGGAGAGGGAGCCUGAGAAACGGCUACCACAUCCAAGGAAGGCAGCAGGCGCGCAAAUUACCCAAUCCUGAUUCAGGGAGGUAGUGACAAUAAAUACUGAUACAGGGCUCUUUUGGGUCUUGUAAUUGGAAUGAGUACAAUUUAAAUCCCUUAACGAGGAACAAUUGGAGGGCAAGUCUGGUGCCAGCAGCCGCGGUAAUUCCAGCUCCAAUAGCGUAUAUUAAAGUUGUUGCAGUUAAAAAGCUCGUAGUUGAACCUUGGGCCUGGCUGGCCGGUCCGCCUCACCGCGUGCACUGGUCCGGCCGGGCCUUUCCUUCUGGGGAGCCGCAUGCCCUUCACUGGGUGUGUCGGGGAACCAGGACUUUUACUUUGAAAAAAUUAGAGUGUUCAAAGCAGGCCUAUGCUCGAAUACAUUAGCAUGGAAUAAUAGAAUAGGACGUGUGGUUCUAUUUUGUUGGUUUCUAGGACCGCCGUAAUGAUUAAUAGGGACAGUUGGGGGCAUCAGUAUUUAAUUGUCAGAGGUGAAAUUCUUGGAUUUAUUAAAGACUAACUACUGCGAAAGCAUUUGCCAAAGAUGUUUUCAUUAAUCAGUGAACGAAAGUUAGGGGAUCGAAGACGAUCAGAUACCGUCGUAGUCUUAACCAUAAACUAUGCCGACUAGGGAUCGGGCGAUGUUAUCUUUUUGACUCGCUCGGCACCUUACGAGAAAUCAAAGUCUUUGGGUCUGGGGG
This 1036-nucleotide ribosomal RNA is filed under the name Nagrajchalara acuaria. RNAcentral's name for it is "SSU rRNA". It matches the Rfam family "Eukaryotic small subunit ribosomal RNA", at positions 75 to 1120 of the family's 1831-position model. Lineage: Eukaryota; Fungi; Ascomycota; Leotiomycetes; Helotiales. The record is from RNAcentral.